CAAGAUCAUGCCAAGAUGUUACAUAAAUCCUGCAAGAUCAUGGAAAGAUCUUGCAUGAUCUUGCCAAGUUCUUGCAGGAUCUUACCGAAGAUCUUGCAGGAUCUUACCGAAGAUCUUGCAAGAUCUUUCCAUGUUCUUGCAGGAUCUUACCUAAGAUCUUGCAGGAUCUUGCAAGAUCUUGCCAUUAUCAUGGCAAGAUCUUGUCAUGAUCAUGGCAAGAUCUUGCAAGAUGUUUGGCAAGAUCUUGCAAGAUCUUAGGUAAGAUCCUGCAAGAACUUGGAAAGAUCUUGCAAGAUCAUGCAAGAUCUUUCCAUGAUCUUGCAGGAUUUAUGUAAGAUCUUGGCAUGAUCUUG
Molecule: non-coding RNA, 353 nt
Organism: Paramuricea clavata
Lineage: Eukaryota; Metazoa; Cnidaria; Anthozoa; Malacalcyonacea; Plexauridae
Source: the annotation of a GenBank genome assembly